AUCUAAAUUUUCGUUUCUCACACUAAGCAGGCAUCGAAAGUCCAAAAUCCUGUCGCCAUGGCAAUGAAUGCCUUCUUGUUCUCUAUGCAUUAUUUCCCUCUCAAACCCACACUCAACACGUUCUCAUCUCUCUCUCCUCCACCCAUUCGUUCCCAACUGACUCCUCCUCCAGUUCAGCCACGAAAGCCCACUUAUGGCUUCCUUCAGAAUCCAAAAACCAUGGUGGGUUUACUCGGAGCGGGCUUGACCCUGACCCUUAUGGGGCCCGCUUCGGCUACUGAGUUACCGUUUCUGGGUUCUUUUCAACUCAGUGAACCCUCCAACGCCCUUUCUCUUCCCACUUGGGCCGUACAUGUUUCCAGUGUGGUUGAAUGGAUUACAGCAAUGGCUUUGGUGUGGCAAUACGGAGAAAUAUCUGGGAAUGAAUCUUGGAAGGGCCUUUCUUGGGGUAUGGUACCCCUGCUAGGUGGAGCAUUUUGUGCUUGCACAUGGCAUUUCUUUUAUAACUCUGAGUCUCUUGAGGUAUUGGUUGCUCUCCAAGCAGCCUUGACAGUUAUAGGCAAUGCCACAAUGUGUUUAGCUGCAUUUCGGAUAUGCAAAUCAUCAGAAGAGCGUUCCAAGGAGCUAUGAACAAGUUCAUCUAUCUGUAUCCUAAAACACAUGAUGAAUUGCUUUACUUCAAAUGGAUUGGGAAAAUGACACAGCAGAAGGCUUCCUUUUGAACUCUGUGAAUAAGCUGAUGGCUUCAAGUUGAAAGAUUUAGUUUUCGUCCUCAUCUAAAAGGAGACACCCUUCUUUUGUUUUGCUACUAGUGAAAUGUUGAAGUAGUCUUUCAGUUAUAUAAUUAUAUGAAUAUAUAUAUAUAUAGACCUGUACAUUGGAGCUUUCCCAAUUCAUUUAAUAGUGAGAGGAUUCGUGUGAAGCUUCUCGUGGUUGGAUAAACAUAUGUAUAACACUAGAAUCUUAUCUCACAUUGGUCUUAGCUCCA
Molecule: RNA transcript, 988 nt
Organism: Humulus lupulus (European hop)
Lineage: Eukaryota; Viridiplantae; Streptophyta; Magnoliopsida; Rosales; Cannabaceae
Exons: 5
Source: RefSeq, a predicted model, not a curated record